RNAcentral lists this ribosomal RNA (178 nucleotides) under uncultured bacterium. Its description in RNAcentral is "partial 16S ribosomal RNA". It matches the Rfam family "Bacterial small subunit ribosomal RNA", at positions 1315 to 1500 of the family's 1533-position model. The record is from RNAcentral.
ACUCCAUGAAGCUGGAUUCGCUAGUAAUCGCGCAUCAGCCAUGGCGCGGUGAAUACGUUCCCGGGCCUUGUACACACCGCCCGUCAAGCCAUGGAAGCCGGGAGUGCCUGAAGUGUGCAACCGCAAGGAGCGCCCUAAGGUAAAACUGGUGACUGGGGCUAAGUCGUAACAAGGUAAC